GUACUGAUGAAGAGUUCAAAGGACUAGGACGAAACAGCUGUCUAGUAC
This 48-nucleotide non-coding RNA is filed under the name Trichobilharzia regenti. Lineage: Eukaryota; Metazoa; Platyhelminthes; Trematoda; Strigeidida; Schistosomatidae. The record is from RNAcentral.